CUAUCGGAUGCGCUACGUGGGAUUAGCUAGUUGGUGAGGUAAUGGCUCACCAAGGCGACGAUCCCUAGCUGGUUUGAGAGGAUGAUCAGCCACACUGGAACUGAGACACGGUCCAGACUCUACGGGAGGCAGCAGUGGGGAAUAUUGGACAAUGGGCGCAAGCCUGAUCCAGCCAUGCCGCGUGUGUGAAGAAGGCCUUCGGGUUGUAAAGCACUUUCAGUUGGGAGGAAGGGUUGCGUGUUAAUAGUACACAGCCUUGACGUUACCAACAGAAGAAGCACCGGCUAACUCUGUGCCAGCAGCCGCGGUAAUACAGAGGGUGCAAGCGUUAAUCGGAAUUACUGGGCGUAAAGCGCACGUAGGCGGUUUUUUAAGUCAGAUGUGAAAGCCCCGGGCUCAACCUGGGAAUUGCAUUUGAAACUGGAAAACUAGAGUGUGUGAGAGGGGGGUAGAAUUCCAAGUGUAGCGGUGAAAUGCGUAGAGAUUUGGAGGAAUACNNCAGUGGCGAAGGCGGCCCCCUGGCACAACACUGACGCUCAGGUGCGAAAGCGUGGGGAGCAAACAGGAUUAGAUACCCUGGUAGUCCACGCCGUAAACGAUGUCUACUAGCUGUUCGUGACCUUGUGUCGUGAGUAGCGCAGCUAACGCACUAAGUAGACCGCCUGGGGANGNUACGGUCGCAAGAUUAAAACUCAAAUGAAUUGACGGGGGCCCGCACAAGCGGUGGAGCAUGUGGUUUAAUUCGACGCAACGCGAAGAACCUUACCUACUCUUGACAUCCAGAGAAGACUGCAGAGAUGCGGUUGUGCCUUCGGGAACUCUGAGACAGGUGCUGCAUGGCUGUCGUCAGCUCGUGUUGUGAAAUGUUGGGUUAAGUCCCGCAACGAGCGCAACCCUUAUCCUUAGUUGCCAGCACGUAAUGGUGGGAACUCUAGGGAGACUGCCGGUGAUAAACCGGGAGG
Molecule: ribosomal RNA, 962 nt
Filed under: uncultured Rheinheimera sp.
Lineage: Bacteria; Pseudomonadati; Pseudomonadota; Gammaproteobacteria; Chromatiales; Chromatiaceae
Description: bacterial SSU rRNA
Rfam family: Bacterial small subunit ribosomal RNA
Source: RNAcentral